Molecule: ribosomal RNA, 468 nt
Filed under: uncultured bacterium
Lineage: Bacteria
Description: partial 16S ribosomal RNA
Rfam family: Bacterial small subunit ribosomal RNA
Source: RNAcentral
GACGAACGCUGGCGGCGUGCUUAACACAUGCAAGUCGAACGGAAAGGCCCUGCUUUUGUGGGGUGCUCGAGUGGCGAACGGGUGAGUAACACGUGAGUAACCUGCCCUUGACUUUGGGAUAACUUCAGGAAACUGGGGCUAAUACCGGAUAGGAGCUCCUGCUGCAUGGUGGGGGUUGGAAAGUUUCGGCGGUUGGGGAUGGACUCGCGGCUUAUCAGCUUGUUGGUGGGGUAGUGGCUUACCAAGGCUUUGACGGGUAGCCGGCCUGAGAGGGUGACCGGCCACAUUGGGCCUGAGGUACGGCCCAGACUCCUACGGGAGGCAGCGGUGGAGAAUAUUGCACAAUGGGCCGAAGCCUGAUGCAGCAGCGCCGCGUGCGGGAUGACGGCCUUCGGGUUGUAAACCGCUUUCGCCUGUGACGAGGCGUGAGUGACGGUAAUGGGUAAAGAAGCACCGGCUAACUACGUG